UACGGAGGGUGCGAGCGUUACCCGGAUUUACUGGGUGUAAAGGGUGUGUAGGCGGUCUCUCAAGUCCGAUGCUAAAGACCGAGGCUCAACCUCGGGAGUGCGUUGGAUACUGUGAGGCUAGACGGUCGGAGAGGGCAGCGGAAUUCUCGGAGUAGCGGUGAAAUGCGCAGAUACCGAGAGGAACGCCAAUAGCGAAGGCAGCUGCCUGGACGAUUGGUGACGAUGAGGCGCGAAAGCGUGGGGAGCAAACCGG
Molecule: ribosomal RNA, 253 nt
Filed under: uncultured bacterium
Lineage: Bacteria
Description: partial 16S ribosomal RNA
Rfam family: Bacterial small subunit ribosomal RNA
Source: RNAcentral